UCAGCAUAUCUUCACAUGAAUCAGGAUCUAUUCCAUCUGUGUUUGGUGCAUCAUGUACAGGAGCCAAGAUCGUUACAUUCCGGAUAGUUACAUUCUUACAGUCGUAUGGAUGAAGUGUCCAAAAAGGAGAGUCGCGCAAAGUUAUAUUGCUGAUCACAAUAUCCCUUGACCACAUGAUCUGCAUGAGUGGGCCCCUCGUGUGGUUAAGAAGCUUCUGGCGAUAUUUUUUCCACCAUGUUUGCCCCUGUCCGUUUAUGGUACCAUUAUGCCCUGUUAUCACAACAUCUCUGAGAUUUUGACCAUGAAUCAAACUCCCAUAUCGAGGUCCAACGUGCUCUCUUCCAUACCCAUAAGAAGGCAAAGGAGGCAUCAGUGGCCAAUAUUUUUCAUCCCG
Molecule: unclassified non-coding RNA, 394 nt
Filed under: Hevea brasiliensis (rubber tree)
Lineage: Eukaryota; Viridiplantae; Streptophyta; Magnoliopsida; Malpighiales; Euphorbiaceae
Source: RNAcentral